AUAUAUUUUUGUAGUAUUUCAUUAAAUAAAGACAAGCGAUUGUUACUUAUAUUAUUAUAAAAUAAUAUUUCAUAGUUUUUGCGAACAAUAUAUAAUAUUUGUAAAAUAUGGAAUAUGAUUGAUUAAAAUCAAACGAUUUGAGUAGAAUAAUGAAGCAUAUUGGCCGUCCUGUGCAUUUCAUAUAUUGUGUUGUUUUGCCGUAAUAGAAAAAUCGAACACUUAAAUUUGCAUUGCAAAGUUAUGCGAGCAUAUAAAAUAUUUGUAAAUUAGUUUUUAGGUUAUCAUUAAUGCAAAUAUAUAACUUUAACUAUACUAAAAAUUAGUUUGAAAAUAAAUUCACUUAACACUUUUCUACACUUUACGCCCGGAUUGAAAAUUACUUAACCAACAUAUCUGCUACAAUUGGAGCAUUUUACUGAAAUAUGGCUGAGCGUCCCAAUAAUUUAUUUGCAGUAAGUUCCGGUCGACCACGCGUACCACCUGGAGAAUUAAAUUUUAACAACCAUAACAUGCGACACCCACCAUCAUCUUUGUCUUCAACAUCAUCAGGUUCUACAUCGUCGGCAUCAAGCUUCUCUUCACAUAAUAUGUCUCUAAGAUUUGGUUCACCAGCGACCGGCGCCAAUAUUGUUAAUCCACCUCUACCAAUGGGCAUGCCAGAUCGCACACGCGAAAGAAUACAACAACAAGCUUGUGGCAAACUACAAUUAGGACCUGGCUCUCAAAACAUCUAUCAAUUCACAUCAGAUGAUAUGGAAGAUCUUGGUGAGAUUGGACGUGGAGCAUUUGGUGCUGUAAAUAAAAUGAUAUUUAAAAAAAUUGAUAUGGUUAUGGCCGUUAAGCGCAUACGUUCGACAGUUGAUGAAAAAGCACAGAAACAACUCCUGAUGGACUUAGAAGUUGUUAUGAAAUCGAAUGAAUGUAAUUUCAUAGUACAAUUUUAUGGUGCGCUGUUUAAAGAGGGCGAUUGCUGGAUAUGUAUGGAAUUGAUGGACACUUCUUUGGAUAAAUUUUAUAAAUAUAUAUAUGAACGCAAACAACAAAGGAUUCCUGAAUCCAUACUUGCCAAAAUAACAGUGGCUACUGUGCACGCUUUAAACUAUUUAAAAGAAAAAUUAAAAAUUAUUCACAGAGAUGUUAAGCCAAGCAAUAUUUUAUUACACAAACGUGGUGAUAUUAAAUUAUGUGAUUUUGGUAUCUCAGGACAACUAGUUGAUUCCAUAGCCAAAACAAAAGAUGCUGGAUGUCGUCCAUAUAUGGCGCCGGAGAGAAUUGAUCCAGAACGUGCUAAAGGUUACGAUGUACGUAGUGAUGUUUGGUCCUUAGGCAUAACACUGAUGGAAGUAGCAACUGGUACUUUUCCAUAUCGUAAAUGGGAUUCAGUUUUUGAGCAAUUAUGUCAGGUUGUGCAAGGAGAUCCUCCGCGUUUGCAACCUUCUUACAAUGGCAUGGAGUUUUCAAUUGAAUUUGUUGAUUUUGUUAAUACUUGUCUUAUUAAAAAUGAAAGUGAACGUCCAAAAUAUAGCCGCUUAUUACAAAUGCCAUUUAUCAUACGAGGAGAACAUAGCCACACUGAUGUAGCUGCUUAUGUGACGGAUAUACUAGAGUCUAUGGAAAAUGAUGGCAUCACACAAUUCACUAUGAAUCAGCCGGCUGAAAGUUAAUAAUUGAAACCGUUUUGAGAUAUAUCACCUACGAUAAAGGCCUCAAGAUACAUUAAAUUCAAUUUGCAAGUGAAGUGAUUUGCAAUGCGUCAUUAUAUCCGUAAAGGAAGGAAGAAAAAAACUAUGACAUAAUUUAAUAAGGACCUUUUAAAUUCUCUCACAUUAUUCAAUAAGGCCUCAGUUAAUCAAAUUGUCGUAACGACGACAAAAUAUUAAAGCUUCACAGGAAAACACCAUGGUAAGAGCUUCAGUGUCUAAAUUGAAUAAAGCCGUAAUUUAAUCAAACGAGAGCCUUCUGCGUGUAUUUUAAAAAAGCAAUUAAAAUGUUCACUUUCUGAGGAAAUUGCCUUAAGUAUAUCAGGUCCAUCAAAAAUGAGUGAAUAAAUAAUUUCUCAAAUAUAAUAAAGAAAAAUCACACCACAAUUAUAGCUUGUUAUGAUAGCAGUGAUUAAAAGAUGAAUUAAACGGAUGCAAAAGCACAUACAAGUAUAUAUCAGAAAUACUUGGAUUAUAAUAUAAUAGUACAAGUUUUACACCUCUACUAUAUAUCUUUGUGUAU
Molecule: RNA transcript, 2223 nt
Organism: Teleopsis dalmanni
Lineage: Eukaryota; Metazoa; Arthropoda; Insecta; Diptera; Diopsidae
Gene: Mkk4
Gene name: dual specificity mitogen-activated protein kinase kinase 4
Exons: 8
Source: RefSeq, a predicted model, not a curated record